RNAcentral lists this transfer RNA (49 nucleotides) under Limnonectes kuhlii (Kuhl's wart frog). RNAcentral describes it as "partial tRNA-Val". The record is from RNAcentral. Lineage: Eukaryota; Metazoa; Chordata; Amphibia; Anura; Dicroglossidae.
GCCCCUUGCUUACACCAAGAAAUUAUCUGUUAAACCCAGAUUGUUUUGA